Molecule: ribosomal RNA, 40 nt
Filed under: Crataegus pentagyna
Lineage: Eukaryota; Viridiplantae; Streptophyta; Magnoliopsida; Rosales; Rosaceae
Description: partial 26S ribosomal RNA
Source: RNAcentral
CGACCCCAGGUCAGGCGGAGUUACCCGCUGAAUUUAAGCA